UGGAGUCUAUUUUGUGAGCCCAGGAUAGGGUGAGUGUCUUUCUUUUCCUGCUCCAAUAUAAUAAUUCCGUCAGCUAAGCUCCUGGAUAUAUUAUACCAUCUGUAUAUUCAUUGAUUGUACAUUUGUUAAGUCUGUUUUAUGGGAAACUGCUUCAAUCACUAAAUGAAAAUCCAGGUUCUGGUCCCAAAUAGUCUUUUCCACUGAAACUGUGAAAAGUUCAAGUUUUGUUCUAUGCUGGCAAAAAUAAACAAAACACUGCAGUAUGGCUUUUUGCAGGACAGAGGGAAUGUUUAGUAUUCAUCAGGACAACUGAGCCCUGAUGUAGAACAUGGAAGAUCUGCUAUACCCAACUGCUACAAAAAUAAAAAGUGUUUUUUGUCAAGUAAGCAUUUUCUGCUUCAAAAUACUUCUUAAACUCAAGUUCCUAUUUCCUAUCUGAGGAGUGGCCAAAAAUAAUGUGAUGGCCAAGCCAUAUUAAGGCAAACGUAAGCAUAAUGUGCCAGCAUAAUUAACAUUCAAGCUUACAACACACCCCUCUAUGUGUAUUUGUCAGUGUUUAUGUAGAUAAAUGUGCAUAUAUGUACAAACAUGCACCAGUCUCUCCAAAGUCUGAUGUGAACUGUGUGUUUAAGUAAUGCACGCUAAAUUGAUGCUCUAAACUGUGUGUCUUCCCAGACUGAUCAAAGCUCAGAAAGAGAUUUAUUUCAAGAAACCAAGUGCUUUGAAGUGCCCAUGCAAGCUCGAUGCGUAGCUUAUGAUCAAAAUGGAGACUGCAGCAGAGGACAGAAAUUACUCAGGGAAGUAGAAAAUUCCUACGUUAACAGUAUUUGAGAUUGAUCUGUGCAUCUUUUAACAGAUCUUAUGAUCUCUCUUCAGGUAUUUUUAUUUACUGAUCAAAGUUGAUGACUCUCAGAUUUGAAAGGUGGAACAACCUAUAGGCUCAAUGGCACAAGGCUGUGAAUAACUUGCUGGAGUAACAUUAGCUGUAUUUGCUGGAAGAUGGACCCCAAAGGUGACAUUGUCUGGAAAAUCUGCCUCUCGUGCUACCUGGAAUAUGAAGCUGAUGAUUCACUGUUCCACAAACUGUCAUGGAAAGGGUCAUGGAAAACUUGAUGCAGAUGGACAGACGUCUCUACAGGGAUCAUUUCUGUCUUAUGGUCACUUAUCCAGCUUCAGGUUAGGUGCAGAAUUCAAGAAAACUUUCUGACAGGGAUCUGUGUGUCCGACCUGGGGUCUCUCCUGAGCACUGCCUGCAGCUGUGGGAACCUCUUCUGGAAGGAAUCCUGUCCCAGCCUGCUGGAGUGCUGGGACUUGUCCUGGUGGGGGAAUUUCCCUUUUGUAUACAUAUAUAUAUUUUUUUCCCUUCCUCUUUUGUCUCAUAUUAAUAAUGUGAAAACAAAUGCAAGUUGCCAAACCCAGCAGAGAAGGCUGUCUCCCUUGUUCAGAAGUAACAUUUUGUGGAGAUGGUUAUUUCCCUUCUGCUGAAUAUUUACCACCUACUAAAAGAACAGUAAUUGAAAUCCAUUACAAAAAUUGUGAUUUGUUAAUUAAAACCAGAAACUGUGGCAGCUCUUUGCCUCAAAUGCACUUUGCAAGUUCACUUUGUAUAGAUGUUGCAUACAGAAUUGUUAGAAGUCCCGUUCUCCCCAAAAUAUCAGGGGUAAACAUUGUACUGAAGAGAGAAGGAAAGGCACUCAUGUUCAUGAUUUGAGUUCAACUGUAUUUUGAUUUAAAAUAAAAUAAUGAGGGUGUUUCUUAAAGAAUUAAUAAAAUAGUGUAGGAAUAUGGUCAGUAUUGUGCAUACCGGAGCAGUUCCCUCUCUUGAUUGUGAUGCUCUUUCGUACAGCUGAGUAAAACUAAAUACAAUUAUUUCUGUGUAUCUUAGAACCAAGUUUUCUGGUUUACACAAAAUGAGACUCUAACAUUGCCUACAGUCGAUGUGAAAAGGAAACAGGAAACAAAAAAGUCCUUUGGAGAGCAGUUCAAGGGGGUCUGACGUGCUACAAGAGAGCCACAUGACAUCUGCACAUUUUUCUGUACAUUCGCACUGGAAAGAGGAUAGAAUUGCCAGGAAAUGUUGCCCUGUGAUUUCUGUAUUGAAGUGGCUGCAUCUGUGCCACCUGUUGAUGACAUGAUUGGAGCAUUAGUUCUCCCUCUGCCUUUGCACUAUUGAUAACUCUGCUUAACAUCGCCACAGGGGAGGCUUUGUUGGAGGCUGCAGUCACUUCGCCUGAGCAAUGGUGUACAUUGGCUCCGCCAUUCAGCCUUUUUUUCCGACAUUAGUGCAUUUGAAUGGGCCACCAGUGAAGCCAUUCAGUGAGAACAUGCACCGGGGCUCCUGGGUGGCCCGGGCCGCGCUGAGAACCCUCGUUAAUGGACUGCGAGCCGCAGCCUAUUGAGCUCCAUGAACUCGGUGACCAAAGAAAAGUGAGACAAAGAUGUCCCUCGGCGGAACAUGUAGGUCAGCGCCGGACAAAGGCGGACAUCGACCAGUCAAACCUACUUGAUUACUGACUGAAAAGGGGACACCUACUGCCAUGGGAGCGACCCUCCCGCCGGCUGGCCUGCCCUCACCUGCGUGCCAGCCCGCCUCUCGGAAGACGAUUUGCGCUGCAGUUUGCCCGACUGCAAAACGUUUGUCUCCUUUGUUUGUUUGUUUUGCUUCGAACUUAUACCUGCUGGAACGAACAGCUCUUGUUUGUGAUCAUUAAUACUAUCCUGUUAAGCCAGACAGCAGGUAGUGAGAUCUUCUGCUCUCACAAUUAAGGAAAAGGGCAGGAAGACAUGGCUCUGUACAAGCUCUUUACUGGGCUGAAGCUAAGAUGGUCUCACGUGGGUCAGUGUCUUAAAGCCCUUGAUUGGCUUUGAAUAGCGAUAGUAUGCAAGACUAUGCCUGUCCUGGUAUCUCUGUGUGCUCUCCCUGGGGUCCUUUGGGUAAGGGAUUAUUUUUUUGUUGUUGUUGUUGUUUUUUGUUUUUUGUUUUUCCAUGCAGAUUAACAGCAGCACUGUGAGAAGCAUUCUGAGCCCCAAAUACACGUUAUAAACUCAGUUUCCAUUACUGCAUAGGGUCCAGACUUGUGGAAAAGCAGUCCUUCAGGAAGAAUGCUUGUUCUUAAAUGCUGGCCAAGUGGUCUCUGUUCUGGAUGCUAUGAGAUCUCUUGUUCACCCACAACUGGACACCAAGACAGGCAGCUUAUGUGUUCAAUGCUUAAGGAGUGAUACUUUCAGAAAAUGCUUGUAAGAACAGCCUACCUGGGGAGGAACGGAGACUUCAGCUUGACUACUGAUAAGGCAGCAAAAGCAACUCACCUGAGGACUUGCUGACCCUGAAGAAGAGAAAUUAAAUGAAAAAAUGUGUAGCACUGGUAGUAGCCUAUGUUCCUGCUCCACAGCAUGUGGAGCUUGAUACCACUGCAGCUGGGAAUGAUCACGUUCCAGACUUCAGCUGCUGCAGCUGACGACAGCCACAUUCUGCAUUCUCUGCCAUCUCUGCUGUGAGAGCAACAGUUACAGCAAACCUGCAGGGCAGGAGAGCUGCCACGUGUGGCCACACUGUUUCACUAAAAACCUGAAGCACUGUUCAUACAGCUGAAUAGAACUUUGAGGGGAGAUCAGUGGGAGCAGAUAAUUUGUAGAAGAAAAGAGGAGAAAGUAGUCAGAUAUUUUCUCUAAGGUUUCUGUCACUGACAGUCCUGAAUCAUCCUGUGAAGUAAACAGUAGUUAUGACAUCUGAAGAUGAUAAAUUUAAGGAACCAAAAAUAUGCUGUUUUCCACAAUUAACUGCUUUCAGGAAAAAUUGUCAGUUCUUCCUGACAGUAGAAGAAAUCCUGUUUAAGCCAAGGCAGGAGAAACUUGAAGCAGACUUGGACAGCCUGGAGAGGAAACCAAAAAUGCCCCUGGGCUGGGAAGCUUUGCUCUGUUAAGAGCACAGGUUCUGGCCCUGUGUCUUAGACCUACAUAUUGAAAGAGUAUAUUGCAUGGUGUGCCUGCACUUCCUCUGCACUUAUUCUUCCUAUGCCUUAGGGAAGAAUUACAUGCAGCACUUGGCCUUGGAGACUCAAAUAUUCCCUGCUUACUCAUUAUCUUACAUUGCUCAGCUGAUUUUUCCCGGUCAAAUUACUGAACACACAAAAGAAUUAUCAAAUGUUUUUAGUCUAGGCAGUGAAGAAACAAAGCUUGUGUUUUCCUUCAUUUUAAAAUUUUGAACUGCACGUUUUAGUUACAGCUGUGUCACUGCUUCACUGAUUUCAUAGGUAACCUGAGAGAACGCUUUAUGGAGGAAGAACACCAGGGGAUCCUGUGACCAAAUGUAUUUCCUUCUCCUGAUCUAUAAAUGUCUGGCAGAUAUAGAAUUUUUGCCUCACAAAAUCAAAUUUACUUUUUUUUUCUGUGAAGUGAGGCAAUACAGACCCAUGCUUAGUACAUAAUUAUUUAAUAUAUCCCACUAUUUCAUGGUGCAACUCUGACCUGUAACUGAGAUUUAAUGAAGUGCUUUGGCAGAGAAUUAAUAUUAGAAGAAACACAAACCUGCAACUGUUAAGUCUCACUUCAUCCAAUUAUAGCUUGUUCUUAAGUUACAUAAUCUAUUUUACAGGUUUUAGUGUAGGAAAAGAGUAAUCUCUCACAGCAUUUUAAUGAGGACCAGUUUUUAUCUCAAGCUAUUUUAGUCCUUUGCAAAUAUUGAGGAAUGUUAUAUCUGAUAAAAUUUACUUAGGUAUCUUAAUGAUAUAGAACUCUAAACCACUGUUUCAAAAUUGGCCAUGUCUCUAAAUGUGCAUGGACAUGUGACUCUCAUUUUAUUGAAAGAGACAAACCAUAUCAAUGAACUGAAAAUUAAAUAGAUGGCUAUUAGGUGCUCUAAUCCUAGAAAGCUCCUUGUCUUCUGUUGAUAUAAGAAGCUCUGUAAGAAGUAAAAUUGAAGUCACACUUCCAGUGCACACUAAGUGAUGAGACAGUAGGAAACACUGCACACAGAGAUAACCAAAUUUCCAAUGGGAAGAAAUGCCGAGAAGUACUGGGAGUGUGAGCACAACUCUCUGUUUGCAGUUGAGUAUCUUGCCUUGUCCCUUCCUGACGUUUUUCUCUUUCACCUCUCCAAAGUCUCUUUGGAGGGAGAGAGAGAGAGAGAGAGAGAGGUUCUUCUCUGCAAAUCUAUAAUUGCACAUGAAGUGUGAGGCAUGCUUCUUAUGUAAUGACAGUUUUAACAGCCUGCAGUUUGAUAGUGAAGUUACCCACAUGAAGAGCAAGUUCAAGGGAAAUUGCAUCCCGAGGAAAUACUUCUAAUACUGCUAGUGACUGGGAUGAGUAGAGAAUGGACAGCUUCUCUUCUCAACUGUGAUUUGACUAAGAUCAGAUAUGCUUGGUGUAUAUUUCACAGGUCGGCUCUUGAAGAUCAGGCUUUCGGCCUUGUCUGGGAAGAUCAGCCAGCUGAAGUGUGGGAAUGAUACCACACUGCUAAGUGCUUUCAGGACCCCAAAAUUUUGGCUCAUUCCUAGUGCAGAAACUUAGUCUCCCAGGAGAUUUGACCUGUGGAAAGCUGAGGAAUCUUUUUGGAUCCUUAGAGUGAUAUUAAGAUGCCUUCAUUCUCCUCUUGAAUUUAACAUAUGGAGGGAAAUUUUUAACAAUACACAGUGCAUUGAAAUGAAUUUGAGCACGUCAUUUUGAUUUGUCAAAUGUGCAUGGGCAAUUCACUUUAUUUUAGUACUAUUUGUCUGAGACGCAUGGGAAUUUUCAGCAGAAAACCAGUUAGAAUGAGACUAGGACUCAAAUGCCCUUAUCUAUCUAUCAUCUCUCCAUCAGUCUGUGUGUUUAGAUACUGAAUACGUUUGUGGAAUUAGCCCAAUGGGCAAAGGCACCAAAGGCAUUUAUUUGCCUCUAAAAAUAUUUCUUACAGCAAGAUGCAGAGAAGAAAAAGUAAGUGCUGUUCUUCUUAUUUUGUCUCAAGCUAUAGUACUUAAAUCCUCAUGUUAUUUCUCUGGAAAAAAUAAAAAUGAAAAGAUCCACAUUGAGAGCAUAUGGAGCAAUGUAACAUCAUGUAGGUUAAUUUGCUAAGCUCUUGAGAGCUGUUUCAUGUAAUAUAUGGUGCUAUGUGAUGUCUUGGCUUACUCCGGGCUGUGUGAGAGUUGAGCAUGAAUUCAGGCAUAACUUAGUGACUGUCAUUUUCAGUUCUGAAAAUACAUGGACACACCUGAUUUAUAAUAAAAGCGAGGAGCUAGUGACACUUGCCGUAAGGAAAUUACUAUUCAGUUUGGUGCCAGUUCCUGUUAAACUCUUCCAAUGUACUUUUGUCUUGGCUUGAGUUCUUCUGACUGCUCAAGCAGAAAGGUUUCUUGCAGCAGAGAACUGAGCCAACUGUUUAGAGGGUGUUUUUUUCCCCUAAUAAAACUUUACUGCACUUUUAUGUGAAUUUAGUGUUUGUGAAAGGCCCUGCUCUGAUGGCAUGGGCAACAGAGACCCUAAGUUCAUGCACAGCCCGCAGACAAUGCAAGCAGGACUGGUUCUGCCCUGCCACGUGUAUUCUUCAUCACAGCCCAAAUGUGAUUACUGAGACAGGUAAAACCUUGAUUCAGUCUCUGAUGAUCUUCCAUCAUUUUCUUUUCAUCUGACACCAUCACAAGGCUGCAGUCUGAUUUCAGCCCAUUAUGCACGUGAAGGCCAUAGACUGAGAGUCACAAUAAGCAAUAUACCAAGUGACAGGACACCUACCCCAGCUGGUACCAAGUGCAAAGAUAUGAUAUUUGACGUGCUCCUUGCAUUAGCUGGACAAUCUGACCUCUGAAAAUACAGAAAGAGUUUAUUAAGCAGCCCAGUGCUGGGAGCAAUGCCCAGGAGGGAAAUACAGAUGCUGCCACCACACAGGGCUCUGCAGGGAAGGAGGCUCAAGCAUCUUGAGCUGUCGUAGUUCUACCUAAGACAGUAGGUGGGUAGUUCAGCAAAGAAACUGUACCUCUAAGUAGCACAGCUUUGAGCACCAAGGCCACAUUUUACAGGUAUCUUGUUUAAGCAUUGAAAUCUAUAAAAUUAUGGCCGAGUUUCUUGGGCUAUAAGGAAAUUAAGAAGAUGCAUUUUGCCAUUUUUUGCUUUAAUCAGUAUUCUCUUUGAGUGAUACUGAAAGUACACGAAUAAUGGUCUGUGAAACAGUUAAGGUAAUUGAUGCUUUCACUGAGGCUUUAAAACAUAGAAGGAACUAAACAAGAAUGGAAAAUGUGCUUCUCAGUCUGGUAGGUGCAUUUUCUGGAGGUGGUAAGAAUACUUUCUAAAUAAAAAAAAAUUAUAUAUUAUAUAAUGUUAUAUAAUAUAGCAUCUUAUUAUUUGGGUCUUUCUGAGAGAGUAAUAUCAAGACAUAACUGGUUCUCUUGGAGAACUGUCUAAUUGUGAUCUGAGAUAGUUUUGUUUUAUCUCCCCAGUGAUUCACCUCUGAGGGGUUAAAGAAUCAUUUAAAUCUAUUAAGCUUCCAUUAAUCUGAGGCUGAAUUCAGUACAGAUGACAGUGUUUUGAGUUAAGUGCUACAACUGAAAGAUAAAAAAAUCUCACCUCAAAAUGUACUUUCUGAGCCUGCUAUUUCAAGUAAAAUGUAAUUGAAUGUUUUCUUAAUUUUUCCUUACUGUUUGUGCUUCUUAACGGCCUUCUGGGAUCUAUUAUUGUUAUGCUUAAUUUUACGUAUUAAGAAAUGGGAUAGAGAAGGGUUUGACAGAUAUAAUGGGAUAUGCCUCACUCACCUGUCCACCUACAAAGCAUAGUUACUCUAUGGCGCUGCAAACUCUGCUUCUUUCCAAGCUGCAGCUUGGCCCUGAGAAGCUUAUCUCAUUGCAUUUCACUUCAUGAUUCCCUACGAAUGCCUUGUACAUGAAGUUCCUGUAUGUUUUUUCAUUUAGGGAGAACUGCUGGGAAAGUUAAUAUGUUAAUAUGUUUCAAGUAAUUCUGUACAUGAAUCACAGCAGGUUUAUUGCAGAUUGUUGUGUGAUGGUAUCUUGGAUUCCUGACAAAACAACCUACUUAGGAUCUGAACCUGCAUAUGCGCCAAGUGCACAGAGGCUGGUUGUAUUUAGUUUAACAACACUAAUUUAAUUAAACUGGCUUAUUAUCUGGCUUUUAAUUUGCAACCUGAGUUUAAUGAGACCUUUUCUCUUGUUUUAUCUUCCUCUUCCUCUUUUCUCUCUUCUCCCCUCCUUUCUCCUUUCUCUUUCUCUUUCUCUUUCUCUUCUCUUCAUCCACUUCCUCUCUGUUUCUCUCCCUGAGAGCUUGGGCAGUAUCAGAAGACUAUGGUUUGAAAGAUGAGCAUGUGUAGGUAACAAUCCUUUGGAGUUGUGCAGAGCUAUUAAUGGUCUCUGGUAUACACCACCCUUGGAACACUAUCACUGAGAUAAUGGAGAACUUCCAUGAAUCUGGGCCACUCAAAAAUAGGGCGGAUCUCGGGUGGUAACUAAAGGCUCAUUGUACUUUACUCAGCAUAGAGGAAACUGCUUAGGAGUUUUCUAACUGGCAAAAGCUGUAUGAACUGCUUACCCCCCAAAUUAGAGCCUGAAAUGCCUUUAAGUGCCUCCACAGACUCAUUUUGUCCCUCUGUGCAGCACAAGUGUGGGGCAGCACAUGUGCGAUGCUGCCUCCUGCCCAGGAGCAGGGCCAUCUGAUGCAAAGCAAGGCAGCAAACUGCACACAGGAAGGCCCUUGCCUGCUGCCACAGCUGCUCCUGCUGCUAAUUGAUGCUGUGUAUCUGUGGCAUCAUCCCAGCAACUAUUUUAGUUGGUUUCCAGCUGUGAAGGUUUUUGUCUCACAGCUAGUGGUAUCUUUGCAGCUGGUAGAGCAAGGUAAAAAUAAACACAACUAAUUCAGCAGAGCAAAGAGAGGGAAUGUUCACAGAAAUUAAAAAACAAUUUUAUCCAAAGUCAUUUGGGAGAGAUAUCUGUGUCUGUGAGGAGAAAGGAUGAUUUGCAUUGAAAAGAGUUGGUCACUUGCCUGUGACUUCCAAGGAAAGGGAAAUAUUUCUGUGUGAAUGUUGACUUUAUGAAAUGUGCUAAAUGCUGAAAUUUUCCACACAUCAAACUCUGGUGAUAUUAUUGACAGCUCCUCUACAAUGUUCCACACAUAUAUGUAUGGAACAUAUAUGUUCAAAUAUGUACUGCACAGGAGGCGUUCUGAAGAAUUACUUCACUUAUGAUUUUUAACAAACUCCCCACUUGUUUUCAAGCAGCAGUUAAGUAACUACUGCUAGUUAGAGGGCUUGUUUUUCCUACCUUAGCUUGGGUAUUUUUCUUUCAUAAAAAGUUUAAAAAAACCCUGUACUACCAAGCUCAUGUCUCCUGUUUCUCCAUAACUCCUCCAAUAAUACCCAUGUUAACCCUUAAACCUCCAGCAGCACUAAAAGUGGCUCUGCAGGUUCUAGGUUGCACCACCCCGUUUUGGUAUUUGCAUUUAUCUUAAAUCCUUGUCGUUUCUCAUAGUAUUUUGAAAAAUGUAGGACAUGUACUUGAUAAUGCUUAAGACUAUCUUAGGACAUUCAGUAUCUUAGGAAACUUUAUGUUCUCAGAAGGAAAAUUUUGCCUACAACAUAGAAAAAUGUAUUUUUAUUUUUAUUUGUUCUUUCCUUUGCUUUCAUGUUUUGAAAUAUUUAUUUUUACUGUUUUACCUUAGAGUUUUGGACACAACAGCAUGACUUGUACAUCACAAACCCAGAUGCACAAUGCCUACACUCUAGCUUGGAAAUGUUCUGCUCAUUUCAAAUUUGCAAUACAUUACUUUCUACCUGAACUUAGGAAACUGACAUUCAGAAGUCAGUCACAUUACCUAGAAUGCAAAUAUAUGCUACUUAUAGUGGCAAUGCAUGAACUAACAGAAAGUUAAAAUAAAUUUAACUUUACUUACUUUUAUCAAAUUGGCUUGCUCAACUAUUCUGUUUACAGUAUCAUCAAGUGUUUAUUUAAUACAUUCUUAUCUGUUCUGUUUUAUAAUGAAAAAUUGGUACCUAGGAACAUAGGAACAUAAACAUUGCAACAUUAAGUAAUUUCAUAGAACUAUAUUUAGAUAAUCAACAACUAUAGACUCCCCACUUAAUCUUUUUUUUUCAGCAUAUUUAUUUAUUGACUCCCUCCAAAAGAAAAAAAAAAAGUAUAAUUUACAUAGCUUCUUAAAUUUUGAAUUCCCUUCAACACUAGUUCUAAAUCCUGUAUGUGAUGGGACUGAAACCCACCUGUUCUUGCAGAAUAGCUUGAACACCAGCUGGCCAAAACCUGACGGAGGACUUGCGUCAUGGCAGUCUCUGCCCACAAACCUGAAAUUGCUGUACUGGAAUGAAUGCUAUUUAGAGAGAGAUCUCUUCAUUGCUUAAACACUAUUCUUAAUCCAUUCUUUCUCAUAAAAGUCACUUAAGAUAAUUUCCAUUGGAUGUCCUUCCUUAAGGGGUCAGUGACUCAAGGAGAAAUAACUUUGAGAGUUGGGAGAUGAAAAACUUUCUGGAAUAAACAAGUUUUUCUCUUUUCUCAGAGCAUCCCGUUCCUUUUAUCAAGCCACCUAGGUAGAUUCUUGAAUCCACCUCCUGGAAAGGAGGCAUAAACCUGCUGCCUGAGCUGUCUUAAGAGCUUGAUCAAGCAGUGAGAGGAGUGAUGCAUGGACCUUUUAGAGCAUCCUAGUUGAGAGCAUGCACCUAGCAGCAGAGAGGUGAUCUUUUAAAUCGUGCUAAUACUCCUGCGACAACUGUCUGUGUCCUAAAUGCCUCACAAAAGAAUUGUACGAAGCAAAACAUCAAUAUUAUUGUCAACGGGCAAAUUUUUACCUCUGCUGUCAGGAAAAUAUUUGUUUUACUAUGCUAGAAGAUGGACCCUGAUAUCUACCAGCAUAAUUUUAUUAUAAGAGAAAAGGCUUAUGUCUGCAGGACAGCAAAGGACAAAACUGGGUGCUCACCUUUCUUCUUGGUACAGAGAGGCUCAAGUAUUUGCUGAGGAAUUUUUCUGGAAUGUUCCCUCUGAGGCAAAGUUUGGUCUUCAUGAGUAAGUCCUACCAAAAAAAGAGAGUGGGUUGUGAGGAGCUUUAAAUAUCAGAAAGGAAAAUCAGAAUAACAAAAAUAUACUGUUGUCUAUGUUCAGAAAAUUACACUAGAGAGGUGGUGCGUAGGUUGCUCUGAAAAUAAUGCCCCAUAUUUACUUCAAUGGAAACUCCAACAGAUACAAUGAGCACAGUAACACUACUUGAUUGGGCAAAUUGUCUGUUACAAAACACUAUUUUUUAACAGAGUCACCACCAUUAGCUAUGCAUUUUCACCAACAGUGAACAAGAACCUUGUAUGGGGACUUCUGAAUCACGGCCUGAACCUCUGAUUAAUCACCUGAGGCAACCAGUGAGUCAGCCAUGGGUGCACAGAUGAAGGCAAUUCACCUGUGCUGUCGUAAGGAGUGGAGCCUGGCUCCACCUCUCCUAGACCCAUUUCAGAGCUGACCACCAGUGGGGAAGGAUCUCUUCUGGAGAUCUACUCCACUGGAGUUUCCCAUGCAAGCCCAGGUUAUGGGUGAGUGUACCUAUCAUUUCUGUUUCCUGCUUUGGUAUAAUAACAUCCUAGCCAAGCUCUCUGUUAUACCUUAACAUCUGUAUAUUCAUUAAUUAUACAAACCUACAUGCCGUGCUCAUAAAAAUCUGUGCCAGUGGAAGUGACCACUGGCACCACAGCUGAAACGCACCAUCUCACUGUACUCAUACCCACCGUUUUUCUCCAUGAACGUUCAGCAAGUGCUGAGGAAGGUCACUGGGUCGCAUUCACACACCUUUGCCUCAUGUGCACUUCCAUGUCAGAUACUAUUUGUCAGGCUGCCCCCUUGCUACCAUCUGUUACACAGCAAGAACGUGUAGCUGUUGGUGGGAAGGUUCAGCCUCUAGUGCCACACCACCAGCAUCUGCCUCUAAUGCUAUGGGUCGUCAUAAUAAAAUAGGAGGCAUUAUUUUUAGAGCAUGCGUUGUAUUUGAGAGGACUUAUGAAGCACCCUGUGCAGUUUUGAGACCCUGCUCACAAGAAAUUAUUUUGUAAAAUAAUGUUUUUUAGAAGGUUAAUAUUGAGCGCUGAUGUGAACAUAGACUUUUAAAGAAGCUGCUUCUAGCACAAAGCUUGCCUCGCUCCUUCUUAAGGAAAGACUUGAGAUACAAACCAUGAAAGGGAAAAAAAGAAAUGAAGCUACUGGAAGAUGCUAUGUUUCAGGGAAUUGCCUGUCUUUCUACCAAGGGUGAGACCUUUUUGCCAAGUAGCUGCAAACAUUUUUAUCUAAUAACAAAUUACCGUGUGUUUUCCAUUUGGCUAAAAGUAACAUGAAUGUCAGACACUGGGCCUGAAGUACCAUCUGCUCAUUAUUUUUAUUUAGAAUUUCUCUUUUCAUUAGGUCUUUUUUGGUUGCAGUAAUGAUAAAGAAUAAAUAAGACAGAUCACUUAAAACUCUAUUCAUCAGGCUUGUUAGCUGCAUGGGAGCUGGUGAUAGAAUUUGUAGUUCCUAUACCAGCUGAACUUAAUGCUGUUCGUGAACUUUAAACUUCCUGACACUGAUGAAAUGAGGCUAGACUUUAGACUUUAGCUCAUAACAGUUUUCUGAUUACUUAUUUGGAUUCCCAGGUGGAUAACUGUUACUUCAGUUAUUUCAGAAAAAAGAAUUGAUGAAAACACGGAUGUGAUUAGAAGUACAACGCCCACAGAUUUCAUGUUCCUACUCUCCCUCGAGGACUAGAGUGUUGCAUCCAAUGGCAGUAAAUUGUUCUCAGUGUGUGGCACCACAACAUGACAAGAGAGCAAUGCCAGAUUUCCUGCAGCAGUGUCCCUGACCACAACACUGCCUGGACCCUCCAGCUAGCACAGAUGAAGACAGGGACUCAUCUUGCCACUGGCAGAUGCAUUCCGGAUGUUGCUCAGUUUCUGGCUUUUGGUUCCAUCUCUGUGCAGAGUUUUAUAGUAUGUCUUCAGUUACAGUUCAUAAGCAGAUACAGAAGAAAAUAUUACAUUUACACUGGGAGGCCUCCAUUCCAUUUAUUUAAGCCCAACCGACUCUGACUUUGUCCCCAUUUCAGUACAGUACACUUUUCUCAAACCGUGAGAAUUAAGUGCUGUGAAUAUUUAACAACUGAUUUCCCAAGUUGGUGAUCUUGUUUAAAAGGUUACAGUACCAUGCUUUCUUGACUUUAAUUUAGUGUGUCUUUCAUUUUGUUGUCUGAUUUGUAUGACACUUACAAGAUAAAUGCUCUGUUUUGUCAAUGCCCCCGUAUAGUAAAUCAUAUUCCUGUAAUUUGUCACACUGAUUGUUUCUGUGAAUAGAGAUCAUUGAUGAAAAGCUACUUAGAAAAUAAGACUUAAUUUAUGAAUGAAAUAAGCCUAACCUGGAAGGAAUCUAUUGAUGUUUUUCUUCCCUGAGCAUUGAAUAAAAUAUGUAAAAGAUUACUUUCUUGUACUGGGGUGCAAUAUUUUGACAGGACAUCAAAAUCCUUACUUCUAAUGACUAAAGUACAGCUAGAUUUGAGUGAGUCAAGAAAAAUGAACAUGUACUCAGCUGUACUAGAUUAUUCGUGUUCUAGACUUUGUUUGCUCCAUCUCUUAAUUACAGGUUAAAAACAUUAAAAUUAACCAUCUGUAAACAUGAGACAGACCUCUCAUCUUAAAAUUAACCAUCUGUAAACAUGAGACAGUCCUCUCAUCUGUGUUGUUAGGCUCGGAGACAAGGAAAAAAGAUCAGAGAACAAAUGCUUAGCUGUGCCUUUCUCUCUUGGCCUUUCCAUUUAUGAGGAGCAAGGUAAAUGCACUGGAUGACCAACAUGCACUCAACCAAACAGAACAUCUUGUGUUUUACAUAGCAGCUGAUAGUUCUCCUCUUACAAGUGAUCUGAAUAUGUAGACUGAGGAAUGUGAGCUGCCAGGAUGGUCCUUCAUGGGGAAUGCUCAAGAUGACUUGGGGAGAUGCCUGGUAUGAAGCACCAUGCAGGCCUUUAGCUUCUCUUGGGAACUGAAACACACAGAGAGCCCUACUGAAGGUCUCAGUUAUGGUUAGAUAAUGGUCGGAGGAUUGAAAUGAGAGAAGGGCCUGUUUAGCUGCCUUAGCUGUUUAUUUGCUUACCCUUCAUGUCCCUUUCUGAAGUCUCAUUCUGGAGCCUCUUUUCUUCAGAUCCUGAGCAGAGAUGAGAAAAAUUUGGGCUUGAUUGAUAUUUUUUUUUCCCCUCCCCUCUUUGCUAAGGGAAGUAGAAGAUGCAUUAGUGUGAGAUACUAUCAUGUCUUUCUCCCACCACAUAUCUUGUUCAUUGGCUGCCUAUGCAGAAGAGGUUGUUAACACUGGAGGAGCAAAUGCAGUGACAGUCAUACUCUGUGAUCACGUAUGACCCUUCCUGCAAUCACAGAUAACAGUGCACAUGCAACCAUGGUCAGACUUGGCUCAUUAAUAACGGCACUGAAAAAACGUAGAUUAGAUUUAUCUUCAAGGCCAAAACUGGAAGUUUGAGUCUUCCAAAUUAGUCGGUUUUGAAAUCUAUACAUUCCAACAGGUAACUGUUUUGUGCAGCCAAAGAACUCAAGACGUGAUCAAGACUGUACAUAUGUAACUUGCUGACUUAUGGGCUGGAGAGAUGUGAAGGGAAUGUAAUGAAGCAACUGUAAGUAAUAGAACAAUAGGUUAUGAGUUAAAAGGGAAAAAAAGAUCAAGUUAUCAAUACACCUGUUGGAAUUUCCUGAGUUAAAGUAUGAUUUUCUGAUUAAGAGAGAUUUUAAAUGACUUAAAUAGUUGGAUAAACAUUAGCAGAAGAAAAUCUAUGAGAAACAUCCCGAGUCCCCUGAAGCAUUCAAAAUGUCUUUUCUACUAAUUUUCCCUUUCUUUGUCAAUAAGCUAAUUAAGAACUAGGGCUAUAUUUUCUUCCAAAACUUUUUAUUUAUUGAAAAAGAAUUGAAUUGAAUGAAAAAAUGAAUGUUAAGACAAAAAUUCCAAUAAAUUUAUAUCUUGAAAAUGUGCUGGUGGAUGUUAAAGAUGCUUCUGAUUUUUUUUUUCCUCCUGUUUUUAUGCUUUCUGUGGUUCCCAGUGUCUUUCAGCAAGCAAUAGACUGUUAAAAUAUCUGAUUGCUUUGCUACUUUUGGGAAAAUCAGAUAGAUUGCUUUUACGUGUACUGAAGAAACGUAGUGCAAGUUUUCAUACCACUAAAACUCCUCCUGUGAGUCAAUCUAUUUCUUAAGAGCAUUCCUGAGCACCCCAGUUAAUUCAACCCAAUUGCUACUGCUGGCAUUUUGCCUUUCUACAUCUUCUCUCCAAUUGUAAUCAGCUGCUCUGUAAUCAUUUGUUUCAAAGUGAAAUGGACGUGGAUUUAUUAUUUAUCUAUCUAUCUAUCUAUCUAUCUAUUUAUUUAUUUAUGUCUGUGUUCAAAACCAUUCCAAACACCAGCAAAAAGCGUGUCAGUACCACAGAGUCUGUUAGGCUGUUCUUUCUUUGCAGGAGGAAAGAAGAUAGUAGGCUUCAGAAGAUAUGUUUUUAUGACCACUGCUAUAGAAAUAAUAAAAUAAAACCUGCAGUAUUUUGACAGUUUUUAUUCAUACAUUUACAACCUAAAACAAAUGAAUAAAAAAACUACGUUAUUGUACAUCUGAUCACAAGGCGACAAAAUAUGUACAAAAAUUGUUAAAAAAUAUUAAGCCUACAAAAUUAUAGAAGGAUAUAUAGAAGGUAGGGUAUGUGUAGGGUUAGGUUGGUGGGGAAACUAUCAAGGAAAUUUUGUAAUAAACAUUUCUCAUACUCCAGCUACGACAGAAAACAUUGUGUAUUGAAGGAAUAAAAUCAGGCAGCCCUGCCACAUGAGGGAUAUUAUAUCAUGUAACAUUGAAGGCAUUAUACUGCAGUAUUUCAAGAGCUGAUAAAGAGAAUCGUGGUAUAUCAUCAUUUUUUGUUCCAUGAAACAAUGGAACAGCACUGGAAAGAAGAAACCAUCAGAUGACGCUGUGUCCAGGGUUCCAGUGAAGUCAGAGCAAGAGCCAAAUCAGCAGGGAAAGCAUCAGAGGAAUAAUGGGGGAAAAAAAUGCAGAUAAGAUCAGUAAUGAGAAACUUCUACCUACUUUAUUCAAAGUGAUUAUGGAAUGAGUCUUUGUGACUUUUUAUGGAACACAUUAAAAAAACAAGAUUCUCCCACACCCUCUUACAGGUAGGUGGUGAUAGUUUCCUUCGUUCACUCUGUGUAAUCCAACUGCCAAUGACCCCCAGUAACAUCAUGUACUUAGUAGUCCUCCUGAUAGUCCUUAAAGACUGCAUUAACCUCUUUUUGCAUUAAGGACAGGAACCUGCACCAUUUGAUACCUAUUAAAGGAGUGAUUGGGUAUCUGAAAAUAUUUCACCAAAUAUUUCUCCUCUUAGCGAACAAAUGAGUCAGACAGAAAAUUAGACAUCUUAAGUGAUGCUUGCUGUAAACACAUACAAUUCACACUGAUGAAAAGAUUUCCUUUAGCUUGCCAUGUAACAACCUGGCCUCAUGAUUGUCCUCAGGAAAGAGUUUAUGGUAGGUGGAUGCUCUGCACACGUGGAGCACAAAAUUCUGGGGUCAGGCAACUCCUGCUCAAAAUUAAAAAUGAGAUGCAGAUGUACACUGAGGUCUGUAGGAGUGCUUUUGGAAAACUGCCUAAAAUCUAAGUUAACCCAGUGAGUCACCAGCUUCCAGCAGCCUUCCUUUGCCAUCCUGCAGGCUGCAGAACCAGUGAAAGGGCAUCAAUACCAGAAGAAAAACUUCCUCCUUCCGGGUGCAAUUCUGCCACUUUUACUUGAGUUAUUUGGUUUAAAAUACUACCAUACUGUAUUCAGGGAUCAGCUGAAUAGUUCUUUUGAGACUGAUGUUUUAUUUUACUUUUUCUUUACAAUCAAUUUUAGAAGGGUAAAGCACAGUGCUAGGAAAACUAGGAAAUGUGUAUAAAAUUACGGAGCAGUGACUCUGUGGGGAAAAUGUUUACCCUGUGGGCUUUUCUCUUUAGAACACAACUGCUUGAAAGUAUCACAUUAAAUACUAAUGUGUGUGUAUUUAAAGAAGGUACAAUAUAUGAGAGGAGAAAAGCCUAUGAAGUGAGUAAGGUGGAGCUGCUGUGGUUAAGCACUCCUCACAGAACACUGCCAUGGUGCCAUGAAAUCCCACGUAAGUGGUCAGAACACAAGUAAGAGCUGCCUGUGGGUAGUCCCAACCUAUUCACAAGCCCUUUUGAACAAUUUUCCUACUUUUUUAAAUACUGUUUUUGGCAAAUAUUCGAUACUUGAAAUACAAAAUGCAUGAGUCACCUACUGGGACAGGCACAGUGUGGGGUUUAUUGAAUUUAGCUAAAUUGUGAGUCAUCUAUCAAAAGUCCUCAUAGUGAAAAUACUUGUAAUAAUUUCACACAUUACAAACAAGAGUAGGUAUGAUUUUUCAAGAUUUUUUGAAGUAUUUUUCACUUGGAGAUUUUACUCUUUGUGUUUCACUUUAUGUUGUAGGAAAUUGUUAACUUUUUAGUGCCGCAGAUUAAAAGGAAAGGUGGUUACUGCUCAUCAGUUUAAACAACAAAGAUCAGAAAUGCAAAACCUGACAUAGUACAAAACACUGUUGUACAAAGCAAAGCCCUCAACAUGAGAUUGAAUACAAAUUCUUCUUGUGCCACUGUUGAGAUUUAUUAUUCUACCAGCACAUCAAUUUCUGUUGAGAUAGGUAGUUUUAAAAUUUAGAGGCAGCAGUUCUCAAGGGGAGAGCUGCAAAUUACCACAGAUUCCGAGUUGCCAAAAACAUGUGGUAGUUCUGUGUGUGGGUAGGGGAUAGUUUUUUUUGGUGUAGGUUGGAAGGAGGAAACUCAUGAGCAGAAGAUAAAGAUGUGAAAAAUAGGAGUGUAUUAAAUACUGUCAGAAUUGUCAUCUGUUUACUACAUAAAAGCAUAAACAGCUCAAAGAUGAAGAUAAAGGCAGAAAAGCACCAAGGAAGCUUCUGAACAAAUUCCUGAGUGGGAUGGACCUGAAUGCCUCUGACGUACACGAUGGGUGGUCUUCUUCAGAGCCAGCUCUUGAGCUGGGCCUUCCCCUAACGUUUGUCAUAGGCGCUUCGCCCAGGCGUUCCCUCCGCCUCUCGCCCCCCUUCCUCUGCUGGCAGGAGAC
Meleagris gallopavo (turkey) is the source of this 18080-nucleotide non-coding RNA. Lineage: Eukaryota; Metazoa; Chordata; Aves; Galliformes; Phasianidae. The record is from RefSeq and is a predicted model, not a curated record.